RNAcentral lists this ribosomal RNA (550 nucleotides) under Escherichia coli. Its description in RNAcentral is "partial 23S ribosomal RNA". It matches the Rfam family "Bacterial large subunit ribosomal RNA", at positions 1292 to 1827 of the family's 2925-position model. The record is from RNAcentral. Lineage: Bacteria; Pseudomonadati; Pseudomonadota; Gammaproteobacteria; Enterobacterales; Enterobacteriaceae.
GAAUGCUGACAUAAGUAACGAUAAAGCGGGUGAAAAGCCCGCUCGCCGGAAGACCAAGGGUUCCUGUCCAACGUUAAUCGGGGCAGGGUGAGUCGACCCCUAAGGCGAGGCCGAAAGGCGUAGUCGAUGGGAAACAGGUUAAUAUUCCUGUACUUGGUGUUACUGCGAAGGGGGGACGGAGAAGGCUAUGUUGGCCGGGCGACGGUUGUCCCGGUUUAAGCGUGUAGGCUGGUUUUCCAGGCAAAUCCGGAAAAUCAAGGCUGAGGCGUGAUGACGAGGCACUACGGUGCUGAAGCGACAAAUGCCCUGCUUCCAGGAAAAGCCUCUAAGCAUCAGGUAACAUCAAAUCGUACCCCAAACCGACACAGGUGGUCAGGUAGAGAAUACCAAGGCGCUUGAGAGAACUCGGGUGAAGGAACUAGGCAAAAUGGUGCCGUAACUUCGGGAGAAGGCACGCUGAUAUGUAGGUGAAGCGACUUGCUCGUGGAGCUGAAAUCAGUCGAAGAUACCAGCUGGCUGCAACUGUUUAUUAAAAACACAGCACUGUGCA